RNAcentral lists this long non-coding RNA (813 nucleotides) under Cricetulus griseus (Chinese hamster). Its description in RNAcentral is "lncRNA (ENSCGRG00015035286.1)". Lineage: Eukaryota; Metazoa; Chordata; Mammalia; Rodentia; Cricetidae. The record is from RNAcentral.
GGGAUAGCCGCGCGGGAAUGAAAUCAGCGGCUCCUGGCAGCUGACGGCUGAGCAUCCAGGACUCUUGCAGCCUGAAUCAGUGGCAAAGAGAACGCUGGGUUCAUAAUGCUCAAAACUAACCCAAUACAAGCAGCAGCACUGACAGCAGUAACAGCGAUAAGCAUUGGCGACAAUGCUGAUGGGUCACAGCCUGUUCUCUGGGUUUGGAAAUAUCCAGAAUUUGGAUCACAUGGGAGCCCUCAUCACACUGAGUUCCAGAAGUGGCGCCAUAGGGGUUGGUGGUCCCAUUCCAUUUAGGAACUCUAUCCCUCUCUCCAGGGACCCUUAUGUGGAGCAAAAAGAGAAGUGUCUGCUGUCACUUGGCAAGAGAGAAAAUGAGCCCUCACCCAGUGGCUGAAGGAAGCAGAGACAGACAUCCACAGAUAUACACUGAGCCGAAAUCGGGAAUUUAGUUGAAGAGAGGGAGGAAUGAAGAACGAAGGGGUCUGUACCAGGUUGGAGAAACCCACAGGAACAGUUGACCUGAACAAGGGAGAGCACAUCGACCCCAGAUGCUGUCUGGGAGGCCAGUACAAGACUGAUCCAGACCCCUGAACAUGGAUGUCAAUAAGAAGGCCUCUGCACUCCAGGGAGCCUCUGGUAGUGGAUUAGUAUUUUCCCCUGGUGCAAGAAGGGACUUUGAGAGCCCAUCCCACAUGAAGGACUACACUCUGGCCCUGGACACAUGGGGAAGGGCCCAGGACCAGCACAGGAAGAUUUGGUGGACUUUGCAGAGCCCCCGUUGAGGGCCCUACCCUGCCUGGGGAGUGGUGG